CUUUAAGGCCAAGGUCAUUAUGAAUGGAUAAAGAAAAACACCACACCACUUCAACAACCUGCUCACUGUCUAACUCAAACUACAGCUGCUGCAGAAAAGGACGCUGGUCACACAGUAAAGGUAUCAAGAAGGACACUCAAUGUGCGUAGACCCGGUUGAUCACAUGGCAUUUGAAGAGCUGCUCCUCUUAGAGUUUGGCUUUGGACAUGAAGAAGCUCAUAAUGGCGUUGGCACACUCAUCUGACGUCCAGCGCUCCCGCAGCAGGUUCACCUCUGCAUCGUUUACUGCGUGGAGACGCGCCUUCUCCUCCGAGCGAAUCAGCUGUUUCGACAACUUCAAACUCUGGGGCUAAAAAAAGGCACAAAGAGGAGAGAGGUUCACCAGAGGAGAGGAUCUACAGGAAGCUCCGCAUCCCCCUCCA
Long non-coding RNA from Cynoglossus semilaevis (tongue sole), 422 nucleotides. RefSeq lists it as uncharacterized. The transcript has 3 exons. The record is from RefSeq and is a predicted model, not a curated record. Lineage: Eukaryota; Metazoa; Chordata; Actinopteri; Pleuronectiformes; Cynoglossidae.